GAGCCAAACAAUGUGAAAGUGCACAGCAACUUUUGAUUACCUAACACCAACAUUGAAAUAAACAUGGCAUUAGAAACUUAUCUUGGAGCCUUAAUGUUGAUGAGAACAACUAGCUAGAAUUUUGUCACGUUCAUACCAAGGCUCAAAUUGUCAUAACAAGAGGAAAAGAUUAAACUGCAUAGCAUUUCUAGGCAAGUUUACAUGAUACGUUUCUAACACUGGCUUAACAUUCAUGAUUUUAUAGCAGGACUUUGCAUCCAGAUAGCUUUAUUCUUCACAUGCAAAAAUGCAGGACACCAAAGAUGGUAAAUUGCUUAUUGCUUUUUAAUCCUCAUUCUCGUAUAUGUCGACUUGGUUCACUCCAUUUAUGGAUCCAUUGAAACUACCGGUUGACGGUUGUAUCUUCAAUAAUCAUAUGGAAUUACUGUUCAAG
Molecule: long non-coding RNA, 433 nt
Filed under: Nicotiana benthamiana
Lineage: Eukaryota; Viridiplantae; Streptophyta; Magnoliopsida; Solanales; Solanaceae
Description: long non-coding RNA (NBEN_LNC037057)
Source: RNAcentral